This is a non-coding RNA of Schizosaccharomyces pombe (fission yeast), 228 nucleotides long. Lineage: Eukaryota; Fungi; Ascomycota; Schizosaccharomycetes; Schizosaccharomycetales; Schizosaccharomycetaceae. The record is from the annotation of a GenBank genome assembly.
UAAAAGUAUUUUAAACAUAUGUCACCUGUGGCUGAGUGAAAACCUAUUCUGUCGAUUUGCUUUUCCGAGACUAACUCAAAGUGGUCCGUCUAUGUGGCUCAAUACUGACUUAUAAGAGUAGAGCAGAAAAUACAUUUCAUAUAAGUAAACUGAAGAUACUUGAUAAUUGAAAAUUCAAUUGGACAACUUUAAAAAGAUUUCUCGGUCAACUUUCUCCAAAGUACAGCU